Molecule: ribosomal RNA, 253 nt
Filed under: uncultured bacterium
Lineage: Bacteria
Description: partial 16S ribosomal RNA
Rfam family: Bacterial small subunit ribosomal RNA
Source: RNAcentral
UACGGGGGGGGGCAAGCGUUGUUCGGAAUUACUGGGCGUAAAGGCUCGUAGGCGGCCAACUAAGUCAGACGUGAAAUCCCUCGGCUUAACCUGGGAACUGCAUCCGAUACUGGUCGGCUUGAAUCCGGGAGAGGGAUGCAGAAUUCCAGGUGUAGCGGUGAAAUGCGUAGAUAUCUGGAGGAAUACCGGUGGCGAAGGCGGCAUCCUGGACCGGCAUUGACGCUGAACAGCGAAAGCUAGGGGAGCAAACGGG